RNAcentral lists this ribosomal RNA (488 nucleotides) under uncultured bacterium. Its description in RNAcentral is "bacterial SSU rRNA". It matches the Rfam family "Bacterial small subunit ribosomal RNA", at positions 28 to 507 of the family's 1533-position model. The record is from RNAcentral.
GACGAACGCUGGCGGCGUGGAUUAGGCAUGCAAGUCGAACGGUAGGAUACCUUCGGGUAUCUGAGAGUGGCGAACGGGUGAGUAACACGUAGGUGAUCUACCCUCAAGAUUGGGACAACCCAGGGAAACUUGGGCUAAUACCGGAUGAAAGCAGCAGUGAUGUUGUUUGAAAGGUGGCGUAAGCUGCCGUUUGGGGAUGAGCCUGCGCUCUAUUAGUUAGUUGGCGGGGUAAAGGCCCACCAAGGCGAUGAUAGAUAGGCGGCCUUAACGGGUGGUCGCCCACACUGGGAUUGAGAUACGGCCCAGACUCCUACGGGAGGCAGCAGUCGAGAAUAGUCUACAAUGGCCGAAAGGCUGAUAGUGCGACGCCGCGUGAACGAAGAAGCCCUUCGGGGUGUAAAGUUCUUUUAUAUGUGAGCAGUGCUUUCUAUGUGAACAGCAUGGGGAGAGAGAUAUUAGCAUAUGAAUAAGCAACGGCUAACUCCGUG